RNAcentral lists this ribosomal RNA (432 nucleotides) under uncultured bacterium. RNAcentral describes it as "partial 16S ribosomal RNA". It matches the Rfam family "Bacterial small subunit ribosomal RNA", at positions 29 to 506 of the family's 1533-position model. The record is from RNAcentral.
AACGAACGCUGGCGGCAUGCCUAACACAUGCAAGUCGAACGAGACCUUCGGGUCUAGUGGCGCACGGGUGCGUAACGCGUGGGAACCUGCCCUUAGGUUCGGAAUAACUCCCCGAAAGGGGUGCUAAUACCGGAUAAUGUCUUCGGACCAAAGAUUUAUCGCCUUUGGAUGGGCCCGCGUUGGAUUAGCUAGUUGGUAGGGUAAAAGCCUACCAAGGCGACGAUCCAUAGCUGGUCUGAGAGGAUGAUCAGCCACACUGGGACUGGGACACGGCCCAGACUCCGACGGGAGGCAGCAGUGGGGAAUAUUGGACAAUGGGCGAAAGACGGAGCCAGCAAUGCCGCGGGAGUGAUGAAGGCCUUAGGGUUGUAAAGCUCUUUUACCCGGGAUGAUAAUGACAGUACCGGGAGAAUAAGCUCCGGCGAACUCCGU